RNAcentral lists this microRNA precursor (97 nucleotides) under Nicotiana sylvestris (wood tobacco). RNAcentral's name for it is "MIR6152 microRNA precursor family". It matches the Rfam family "MIR6152 microRNA precursor family". The record is from Rfam by way of RNAcentral. Lineage: Eukaryota; Viridiplantae; Streptophyta; Magnoliopsida; Solanales; Solanaceae.
UGGACAAAUUAUUUUAUUCGACUGUAUUCACGGCAUGAAACAUGGGAUUACACUGUUUUUAAAACGGAAAGUGAAUCAAUUAACAUAAUAGACUCCU